This 731-nucleotide ribosomal RNA is filed under the name uncultured Eubacteriales bacterium. RNAcentral describes it as "bacterial SSU rRNA". It matches the Rfam family "Bacterial small subunit ribosomal RNA", at positions 29 to 764 of the family's 1533-position model. The record is from RNAcentral. Lineage: Bacteria; Bacillati; Bacillota; Clostridia; Eubacteriales.
AUUACGCUGGCGGCGUGCAUAACACACGCAAGUCGAACGAUGAAACUUAAAUGAUUUCUUCGGAAUGAACUUAAGUGGAUUAGUGGCGGACGGGUGAGUAACGCGAGAGUAACCUGCCUUACACAAGGGGAUAGCCGUUGGAAACGACGAAUAAUACCCUAUGAAACUAUCACUUCGCAUGAAGCGAUAGUCAAAGUGUUAGCGGUGUAAGAUGGACUUGCGUCUGAUUAGCUAGUUGGUGAGAAAAAAGCCCACCAAGGCAACGAUCAGUAGCCGGCUUGAGAGAGUGUACGGCCACAUUGGGACUGAGACACGGCCCAGACUCCUACGGGAGGCAGCAGUGGGGAAUUUUGCACAAUGGGGGAAACCCUGAUGCAGCGACGCCGCGUGAUUUAGAAGGCCUUCGGGUUGUAAAAAUCUUUUGUAUAGGAAGAAAAUGACAGUACUAUACGAAUAAGGUCCGGCUAAUUACGUGCCAGCAGCCGCGGUAAUACGUAAGGACCGAGCGUUGUCCGGAAUCAUUGGGCGUAAAGGGUACGUAGGCGGGUCAUUAAGUUAGAAGUCAAAGGCUAUAGCUCAACUAUAGUAAGCUUCUAAAACUGGAGACCUUGAGUAAUGGAAGGGAAAGUGGAAUUCCUAGUGUAGCGGUGGAAUGCGCAGAUAUUAGGAGGAAUACCGGUGGCGAAGGCGACUUUCUGGCCAUUAACUGACGCUGGGGUACGAAAGCGUGG